This 500-nucleotide ribosomal RNA is filed under the name uncultured bacterium. Its description in RNAcentral is "partial 16S ribosomal RNA". It matches the Rfam family "Bacterial small subunit ribosomal RNA", at positions 29 to 523 of the family's 1533-position model. The record is from RNAcentral.
AUUGAACGCUGGCGGCAUGCUUUACACAUGCAAGUCGAACGGCAGCGCGGGCUUCGGCCUGGCGGCGAGUGGCGAACGGGUGAGUAAUACAUCGGAACGUGCCCAGUAGUGGGGGAUAGCUCGGCGAAAGCCGGAUUAAUACCGCAUACGACCUGAGGGUGAAAGCGGGGGAUCUUCGGACCUCGCGCUAUUGGAGCGGCCGAUGGCAGAUUAGCUAGUUGGUGGGGUAAAGGCCUACCAAGGCGACGAUCUGUAGCUGGUCUGAGAGGACGACCAGCCACACUGGGACGGAGACACGGCCCAGACUGCUACGGGAGGCAGCAGUGGGGAAUUUUGGACAAUGGGCGAAAGCCUGAUCCAGCAAUGCCGCGUGUGUGAUGAAGGCCUUCGGGUUGUAAAGCACUUUUGGCGGGAACGAAAAGGACUGUGCCAAUACCACGGUUCGAUGACGGUACCCGCAGAAUAAGCACCGGCUAACUACGUGCCAGCAGCCGCCGUAA